This 1258-nucleotide long non-coding RNA is filed under the name Homo sapiens (human). Its description in RNAcentral is "HSALNT0384082". Lineage: Eukaryota; Metazoa; Chordata; Mammalia; Primates; Hominidae. The record is from RNAcentral.
UCAGCCUUCGCAGCCCGUGGGGGACCACCCAGCAGGGUCCUGGGCCCACAGCCAGGUCUUUACUGCUCCUGGGGCUGUGCCACGUGCUGGACGGGGGUCUGGGUCGCCUCCUCCCUGAAGACCAUCAGGCAGGCAAGGCCCCGGGUCUGACAGCAGAGGCCCUGGAUGUUCCCCAGGUAGGGAAGCCAAGUAACCACCAGUUGAAGGGUCAUCCCCAAAGCAGCAUCUACUCGAGUAGAAGGAACCCAGGAUUCGGUCAGGUCUAAUUUUGAAUCCAACUGCCCCAUUUCUGGCUGCAUGUCUUGGGCUCCUGUUUCCUCACCUGCCAGAUGCCUGUUACUCAGCACGCGCUCUGAAGCUGUUGGAUUUGAUGAGUCUCAAGUGGCAUCAGGCCCAAGUCGAGAGCUGCACAAAUUGGAGUGUCUCCUGCCCAUGUUGAGGAAGGGGGGCACCCCCAUGGGCCUGAGCUGGGCUAAGACAUGAGGCCAGCAUCCCCUGCACCAGGCCAGAUUCUGAUCCCAAAGCUCCCUGGGUCUGCAAGUUUCUAGGGGCACCUCUGCCACGGGCCCAGCUGGCAGGGAGGACAUGGAAGCUGGAGGGUGGGAUGGGGUGGCUUCUUGGGGUUCGGGGGCUUGGUUAGCUGUUGAGGACCCCUCUGCAGGGGCAGGGAGUAGGGUUUAAUCAUGGGAAGGGGCUGGUCGCAACCCGGAGCCCACUGCCCUACGUCACAGCACGUUUGGGCAGGGAAACUGAGGCAGAAGCCCAGCUGGGUGGCCUGGGGACUAGCUGGGGAUGGGGUAGCUGUGCCUGGGAGCGACACCACCAAAGAGGGUCCAGGAACAGCUCUGGUCAGAGAAACCUCCUCCCCUCCGACUUUCAGGUCCUUGACAGAGGAGGCCAAGCAUCCCAGGGAGGGGCAGGGAACAAGUUCCGUGCAGGGCCAGCAUCGAGGCCUGAAUGCCCCGUUUCAGAUGGGAGGCCAGGCCUGCAGCUGGUGGAGGAGGCCACGUGGGUGCUACCCUGGACACGACCAGAGAUGAGCAAGGACCAGGAGGAAGAGAAUGGAGAGGUCCCUGCCCAGAGCAGCGCUUGGUGGAGCUCCGGCACUGUCCACACAGAGCACCUGGCCCCAGCUCCCAAAAUGUCUGGGAUGCCUCGGGCCCUCAGUGCAGAAGCACCUUUUCCAAGUGGAUCUGCUGGUCCAGCACAGCCACUCGCAGCUUGAGGGCCGCCAGGGUCUGCAGCUCCUGGGUGCUGG